This 253-nucleotide ribosomal RNA is filed under the name uncultured bacterium. RNAcentral's name for it is "partial 16S ribosomal RNA". It matches the Rfam family "Bacterial small subunit ribosomal RNA", at positions 524 to 776 of the family's 1533-position model. The record is from RNAcentral.
UACAGAGGUCUCAAGCGUUGUUCGGAUUCAUUGGGCGUAAAGGGUGCGUAGGCGGCGCGGUAAGUCGGGUGUGAAAUCUCGGAGCUUAACUCCGAAACUGCAUUCGAUACUGCCGUGCUUGAGGACUGGAGAGGAGACUGGAAUUUACGGUGUAGCAGUGAAAUGCGUAGAUAUCGUAAGGAAGACCGGUGGCGAAGGCUAGUCUCUGGACAGUUCCUGACACUGAGACACGAAGGCCAGGGGAGCAAACGGG